Long non-coding RNA from Hibiscus syriacus, 1052 nucleotides. RefSeq lists it as uncharacterized. NCBI's taxonomy places the organism in Eukaryota, Viridiplantae, Streptophyta, Magnoliopsida, Malvales, Malvaceae. The transcript has 6 exons. The record is from RefSeq and is a predicted model, not a curated record.
CGAAGUUCCUGAAACUGUUGAAGAAGUAGAAAUUCAAGUUGAAAAUGAGAACGCACAAGAGUAGAGGGCGUACAACGUUGAAGGAAUUAUACUAACUUCCUCUUUGGCACCGUGUCAAAGUUUCAAGAAAUGAUGACGAUCAAUCUAUUGGCCCAGAAGCAUGUCUUCUAUCCGGUUACUUAGGUAUAGUUGGACGUAAUGUUAAUCUAUUACCGAUCAAUUAUGAGUCAUAGCGCGAAAUGUCUACUAGUAACAAAAAUCAGGCGUUGGAUUUUAUUAAGGAGAAAUUUUCUUUAGAGGUAUCUGACGAUUAUAUGAAGCAAGCGUUACGGAAGAGAUAUAGAGAUCACAAGAGCGCAUUAAAGAAGAAAUACUUCAAGAAUGAUCUCAGCCUUGAAGAGAAGCUAUAAACAGUUCCACCUGGAAUGCUCAGGUACCAAUGGGAAGAUGUUAGAUUCUGGAGUUUACAAAACGGACAGGACCGAAAGCAUGUUGUGUUGUUAGCAGACAACAACAAAAGUUUACGCACUCGGCUGGAUCAAAAAGCUUUGCUUGUAUAGCUAAUGAGGAGGAAAAUACAUCUGGUUCUAAAGUUGGAUGAAUCUAACUUUUCGACGUGACACAUACAAAGAAAGAUGUCACUCCUAUGACUGCUGAAGCUGCAGAAAUUAUGAUAUGGUCAGGUGCGCUGUCAAGGAUCAUUCGUUACUCCCACCAAAUAUUUUGGGUCCAGUUCAUCUCAGUACAUAUUGUCACAGUCUCAGUCUCAGUCUUCCUAAUUAGAAGUUAGUCGUUUAAAACAAAAGUUGGCUGAAAUGGAUCAACAAAUGACUAACAUGAAAGUCGAAAAUGAAGUAAGGGAAGCAGAGAUAACAGCAAUAGAAGCACAGAGAGAAGCAUCGAUAGCACAGAGAGAAACAUCAUAUCAGCAAAGAUGUCAAGAAUUUGAAAAAUAACUUGAUGAUAUAAUGCAGAUGUUACAGAAAAUGCAACCUCAGAAUCCACUAUCAUAGUCUUAUUUAUAUUAUCAGCAGAUUGUUAAUAUUGUUGAA